CAGAUCAAGGUUGCAGUCUUGGCUUGGAUUGGUAGCCCUCAGUGACUGCUUGCCCGUGCAAAGCAUAACCAUAGGUUCUCUUGGGUGAUUGCUGAGCUUCAGGGCACCACUGGGACUGGUGAGAAGAGCCCUGAGCAAAGCAGAAAUCAAGCAGAGAGUCUGUCAGAUAGAUGAAGGGAAGAAGAGGAAGCAUUGGUGAUGUAUCUGAACAGUGUGCUGUCUGUUCCCUACUAGAAAGGAUGGUCCUAGGUCAGCAAUUGCAAAACAAGGACUGCUGUCUGGGAAAAUCCCACACACAGAGAGUGUGAGGCCUCCAUUCCAGCACUGGUCAUAAAGAGAAACUCAGCUUCAGGGCAUGGUGCCUGUCCACUAAUGUGCUCCUCUCAGCCAUGCGGGCAGGGAUGGGACAAAGCUCUGCGUCUCUGUACCCCUCGGUUUCAAAAGAAAAUCUAGCUGUCUUGGACAAGUUGGGUCCCACGAGGUCUGGGUCAACAGUGGUCAAAACUAAGAACAGAAAAGCAAGAAAAAGUACUGGAAGCUUGCUACUAAUUUGUGUCUGAGGCAGACCUGUGUCUUCUACACAGGGGCAGAAGCAUACCUUUGAGGUCAAUGGUUUUCUUGGUUUGCUGUUGAAGAGGAGAUGUCUCAACUGCCUUCAAGUAAAGGUCACCGAAAUAUCAAUAUGCUUCUAAAACAAAAGGACCAAAAGGCUCAGCUUUCGGCGUCAGUUAAAGUAUGGUGAUGCAAAUUGCGGAAAAUCAGUGGCCUGUAUCUCCAAGAGUUAUUUAAUAAUGAAUUUAUCAGUAGAAAAAUAAGAGGAUCUCUCUCAAGUAACUCAUACGCAAAGCAGCUGAGCCAAGCGCAGGGAGAGGCAGAGCUGCUGGGCUUAGAAGGUGAUGUUCCAAGGAGGACUGUGCCGAAAGAGGCAGGGGUGUAAUGUUCCCACGCUCCCCAAAGCCCUGAAAUGAUGUGAACACACCCAAAGUAUAGUGACUUCAGCCAAGAAGCCCAAAGAAGGUGUGUGUGGAGAGGACCCAACACGGAGGGUGUUCCAAAGUAGAAUAACCCAGACCAUAAUCAGUACAUGCUCAUAGUUUUAUCCCUCAGAAUCCAAAGAAAUAGGCAGAUAUUUGGGAUAAUUCUAACCAGUUGGUCCUCUCCUGGAUUAAAUUCACAGAAUCAGGGAAUGCUAUGGUAAAAAGGCCCUGGCUGAUGCACAAAUGAUGUGACCAUACCUCCAUGGUGGCCUGAGGUACAAGUAUUCAGGUUGCAUCCUAGAUUGCCCCUCACUCAUGUUCUCUAGAGCUCAGGAGUGGGCUCUUCAGUUCUGUGCAGGUGAGUGCUCUUACAACUUCAGUCACGGGCAAAGAACCUCAAAGAGUUCUGUCUCUUAUCAAAGCCCUAGGCUUUGUGUUUGCCUUAGUUUGAACACAGUUCCUCUGAACUCUCAUGAUUUACCUGUUGGAGUGCCUGGGCUCCUGAGAGAAAGGCACCGUUAUUCAUAAGGCGGCAGCCCACUCGGAUCACAAUGUGAACUCCUCUUCUUGUCCCACAGGCCUGACUGACAAGCGCUCAGUUUCAUCAGAAGAGGCUCUCCUGUGUGAAGACUCAAAUGUACUUCCUGGGUAAGGUGAAAUAGUGAGCUCUGGAGUCCAGGGACAGGGAGGUGGGAGGAGGGUCUUCCAGGGACCCUGGUGAGGGAACUGACCUGUGUAUGGAGGGACCCUGGAGUCUCCCUUUGUCCGAGACACACAGACUCGUAUCUCCUGAAUGUGACAAGAGAACACUUGCUUAGUGGCGUUUAAAACUGUCUGCUAAUACUCACCCAAUCCUUAUUUCCCCAAAGUUACAACACUUAAUUAAGACUUCCGAAAUCCAUGUGCAUGUGCCAUCAAAGCUAGGAUCCAUUCCCUUUGGAACCUGCCCUGUCCUAGAAACCAACACAUCUAGCUCAGGUCAACACUGCACAAGCAUCAAACUGGCUUCAGUUUUUAUUCAGAUUUGCGGAAGAAGUUGUUGAUCUGACCCUUACCUUUGUCGCUGGGAAAAUGAAAGACUGUUGAAGGUAUUGAAGCAGAGAACAGGCCCAAGUGCUUAGCAGAGUAAAGACCUUCAAUAAACUUUAGCAAUGGCUAUAAUUGACAGCAACAUUUCUUGGAAUGGCGUUGCAUGGAGAGCGGGUCCCUUGUUCCUCUACAACCUGGGUGGACUGUCCUUGUCCUAGAUAGCCCAGCCCAUAGGAACUGUCACUAGUAACUACGACCUUUUAACUUCCAGUUGGCUCAGUCUCAGCAAUCCUAAAUAGCCAGUGACAUCACAGUUUAUGCAUGAGCCACUGAUGAUGGGCUCUGAGUCCUAGCAUUCAGAAGUGGAUAGCUUGUUUGGGUCUUAGCAUAUAAAUGUAUGGAUAUCCAUAUUUUCACACACAUAGAUAAAGCACUAGGAUCUGGUUCUGUUGCCAGACACUCCUGGAUGUUACUGGUACACUACAUGGGGCUGUCACCUUGCUCUCAUGUCUUGUAUCCAUGUGUUCAAGUUUAGUUCUUUGCUGCCUGACUCUCACCACACCCUUAGCCGCUUCUUUCCCAGUCUACAUAUCUUCAGUCUUUGGCUCCACCGUGGACUGAACCAUCUCAACUGGUCCUAUGUUAAUACUGGCUUUAGGAUUGAAAGAAUUUCAGUAAUCUAUCUUAGCUGCACAUAAUAAUAGGGCUCAGAGUGAUAUAUCUACAUUUGUAUUCUGUAUGCAUUGAUCAAAUCAAACCGCCUCUCCUCCACCUGCCCCAACCUCUGGUAAUUAUUACUAUUGUGUUUUCAGUGGAGCUCUAAAUCCUCAACUUUUCCCUGAGUUUUCUGAGCAUCUUCACCCUUUCAUGUGCAGCCUUUAGAAUAUUUCUACUCUUGUCUUUUGUCAAAAUUAUCUUCUUUGAUGACAAUAAAAUCUGAAUCUGUUCAGUUAGCACUUCAUAAAAAUACUUCAGCGACCACACUUACCUUUGACCUUGAUCCCCCACCCACUAGCCAAACGUGCCAAUCUUUCUAAUGGCCUUGUGGUUGCUCUAUCUGCUUUUCCCCAGCACGUUUGUUUGCCACCCUCUAAGUUUAUGUCUGAUUGUUGCACAUGUUUUAAUAGUGUCUCUUGCCUCUGCUUUUUCCACACCAACUUCCUUCCCCUAAAGAUCCAGUAACGACUUUCCCUAUGAAACACUAUCACUCCCAGGGGAAUUAAAGAUAUCCUUUUCAUUUUUACUGCAUCGUUUUUAUCUCUGUGUCCUCUUUGUCCUACAAAGCAAGCAAUAAUAUUCUAUAAGGUUAGGGAAAAGUUGUCAUAUUCUGGGAAUAGAGGCAAUGUUAUAAGACGGUAAUUGAAGUUCAUAUAAAUGAGAUGCAGAAAGUUGUGGGCUCAACAAGAUGAUUCAGUAUGUCAAGGUGCUUUCUGGCAAGCCUACCAUGAGUUCAAUCCCCAGAACACAUAUGGUUGAAGAACUACUUCUGCCAGUUGGCCUCUGAUUACUACAUUCACAGACAAAUGAUAUAUAAAAAAAAUGCUUUUUAAUUGUAACUAUUACACUUCAUGUAAUGGGAUCCCUACGAUGGUGAAGAGAAUACUUCAAACUCACUGACUUCAAUCUUCCAUGACUUCCACAAAUACUUACUAAAUGCUUCCCACGUCCCAGGAACAUGUACAGUAUACAUGUAUCCAAGUAAGUGUGAGGGCUUAGGAAAUGGUGUGGAGAAAGGACUCACAUACAGUACAUGAAUGUGUAGACGGAUGUAUAAUCAGGGAGGAUUCUGCAUGGAGUGGGGUUCCUAGAGUUUUCAAAAUGAGGGAGUUCUCCCAGGCGUAAGAGGUGGCAGAUACACAGAUGGAACGGUCCCGAUGGGGGUGGCUGUGCAUGCCCAUCAGCACAGAAUUGCUGGUGGGGCUUAGUGUAGAAUAAAAGAGCUUCCUUUUGGGGUCUGUCAGAAAGGGGUGGUCAGGAAGGAGGAAAGCUGGUUUAGCUUCUGACUCUGCCCGCGGAGAGUGAAGCAGGGUUGGGUUCCUGCUCUGCUGUGUGGCUGGCUAUCCACCACCAAGGUCUCUGUCUCCCAUCUAUGUCGUUGGUUGGUACAGGAAGGAAGCUGCGCCAUACUAGUCCAUAUCUCUUUCUAACCUUUCUGUAUGAGGCUGGGUUUCUGCUAUUUCAACACAAAAGUAGUGUUCCUGCCGGUUUGUUAUCAGGAAACCUGCUCCCUUGGUUUUUCUGUCAUCUCCUCGUAACUUACCAUGGCUGGAUACAUUUGGGGCACAGCCUGUGCCGUUCUUUUUAAACUUUUCUUACACAGUAUUAACAACAUCCAGGUAUUCUGCGUGGACUUUGUGUGUUUGCUUGUUUAUUAACAUUAAAGUGGGGUGUAUCAUGUCAUGCAUGCGGAGAUCAGAGGACAAUUUAUAGGAGUUAGUUCUCUUCCACCGCGUGGAUCUCAGGUAUCAAACUCAAGGUAACAGGCUUGGUCACAAGUACGUUUCACCCACUGAACUCUCUUACUGGCCUUUUCCUUGUUUCAAGAUUUCUGAGCUGAAUACACGUUGUAUGAGGUGUGGGCCAUUAACUCAAAUCGAAGUACAUUUUCUGCUCUCGCAGAGGAGGGCAAGAGGGACACAGACACCCCCUGUGUCUGCCCAACAGUCAGUUGUGGGCACCUUCUCAAGCCCGAGGCUGCUGCCGCUCUCACAGCAAUCCUAUGGUUGUGAGAUCAAUUGUGAUAUCAGUUUUACAGAUCAGGACAAUGAGAUCUAGAGGGACAGAUCACUGUAGACUCGGUGGUCUCGGUCACUACAGCAAGAAGAAAGGAGCUUUGGAAACAAAGCCCAGGUGUAAAGCUCCGCCAGGGUGAGGUGAGGACUACUGGGGCAGCGGAAAUGAAAAUUAGGAGAUGCCUGGAUAGCAACACCCUAGCCCUCAAACGCCAUUAUGCAUUUUUCAUUACUAAUUAAUGCCCCACUUUCCCUGUGAUUCUACGGGGAUUGUGUUUACUCUUUUACAGUUAAUUAAACUAAUGCACUGCCCCUGAUAGCCAGCAAUUAUAUUACCAAGGUACUUUAGACGCAGCUGGCUCAACAGCCGCAACUAACAGUUCAGUUAUCCACACCGCUGUCAGCUGAUGCCCAGGCUCAGAGCUGAAAGAGAUGGCUUUACUGAUUUGCUUCUGAAGAACCUAGACCAGAGGACUGCGUCCUGGAAGCAGGUUGCCUCUGGAGGCGUGGUUCACACUGCAGCAAACUUUGACACGCCCGAGGAUUCCACCUCACUCCAUGCCCAGAGUGCCAACCAUGGGACAACUCCUAGCAACCCCUGGGCGCCGCUAUUCUUUAGAACUUCCCAGGAAAGGAAUCCUGUCACUUUUGCCAAGUUCCUCAUCCAUCCAGACACUUC
This is a long non-coding RNA of Myodes glareolus (Bank vole), 5417 nucleotides long. RefSeq lists it as uncharacterized. The record is from RefSeq and is a predicted model, not a curated record. Lineage: Eukaryota; Metazoa; Chordata; Mammalia; Rodentia; Cricetidae.